CUUCUCUUUGUGGGUUUUCUUCCUCUUACUUAUCUGAUCAAGAGUUGAACUCUUGACUGAAUCUCUUGGAGGACUAGAUCUCAGAAGAAGAGAUAUUCUAGAUGCCAGACGUGGAAAGAUGGAAGAUAGCUGACUAUUGUUCCUACUGGAGUAUGACGAGAUUCCCUCAGACAUGUGUAGCUGCUGCAAAUGCUCAGGUUGAGACAUGAGGCAGCAGUCCUAGGAGCACUUCCAACAGAUUGCCUCUUGGGCCAGAAUGCAGGGAAUUGAGUUGGGGCCAUCAGAGCUAGCAGCAGAAGCUGAGCCAAACAGCCACAGCGGUUUCUGGGGACUGGCAGGCUCUGCAACACACCAGGGACAAGGGUCUUCCACGAUCUCCUUGGGGAAUGCUGUUCUAGACUCUUCCACUUGCUCAUGCUUUGCUGUUCUCAGUGCAUUGCAAGUAGGGAAGGGCAGACAUCAAAAGCUCGAUGGGAGCAUCCACAAGUUCAUCUGAAGCAUGCAGACCUUCAGCAUUUUUAACGGGAAGUUGGAGAGCUUUCAAGUGCUCUCAUCCCACCUCCUGGCGCUUCUGCUUCUGGUUAAGGCCAGACAUAACCACAAGAACAAGCUUUCUCACGGUGUUUCAGCACGUUUCCUGUUGGUCCUGGAAGAAAACUGGAAGAACAUUUGAAGUUAAGAGGGCGUCUAGUCUUUGUAGAACUACAGAGGCUCUGUUCUGGAAAUAGGCACAGGCUGCGAAUGUUGGUAGGGGUGAGUGAAUUUACUUUCUCAAAGCAGUUUGCACCCUCCCCGCUAAUAAGCCUCCCCACAAAAGGGAAGAGUUGAUUUUUGUCUUAUAGAGAAAUGAAUCAUGGUCGUGCAGUGCUCUGGUGGAACGGGAACAAUCCCGAGAUACUUUGGGGGACUCGGAUGGAGUUGCCUUGUGCAAUAGAUAAUUUGGGAGCCCACAGAGGGUCAGAGAAAACUAACUGCAGAGUCAUGAAAUACCACACGGCUUGGCAGAGAAGUGGCAGUCUACCUGCACAUGCACAUACGUAUACGUGCUCAUACAUAUACACACGCGUAUGUUUGCAUAUACUUGUGUUGCCAUCCCUGGAGACUGAAGCCCUCUGUUUAUCUCCAGUUUCUCAGGUAAUUCUCAAACUCUCUUAUAAAUGUGGUUGAAUUUGACCUUGAGAGAGACACGUCCCAAGAGGAGACUGGUCUGUGCAGUGGUUCAGUCCCUCGGUGGCUGGCAGAGACCGUUGAGCACUCGUUAGGGUUUCUGCAAAUUGGCAUCUUUGCUGUGUCUGGUCCCAGACUGCACCUGGGGGGCACUGAUUUAGCUGCUGGGGAGAGAUUUUAGGCCUGGCUGGGUUUGAACCGUGCAGCCCAGGAAUGAACAGCGGCGUGUAACACACCUAAAAGCACCCUGUGCCUUUCCCCGCUCCCUUCGGUUCUCACCGCCGCCUGUGUUAUAUCAGUGCUGUAGCUGAGCCCUGUUACGUGAAGGCGAUUAGACCCAAUCACGUGGGAAAGCCAGGUGUGAAAACCCAUCCGAGUCUGUCGCUCGACUUGGUGUUAAUUGGGCUAGUUCCCUUUGAAAGGCAGGCGAAAAGCUUCGGUGAGCCUGCCGGCACCUUGCGGCGCAGUGUCCGUCUGUGCCGGGCAGCGUCCGACCGGCAGACGUGUUUGUGCAAGCGCAGAUGUUGCUGCCUCCUGUCGGGCUCCUGCCUGACCUCGAGCAAGGCGGUGCGCCUUCCCGUGCCUCGGUUUCACCAUGCGAUGGUACUUGGUAGUCUUUCCUCCAUACAACAAGGAAGAGGAAGAGGAUGGAGGAGUGCGGUGGCACGGUUUGCAAAGACGGCCAGCCAGGCAGAACGGGAAUGCUAAUUAAUUAGCCAUCGCGCUCAGGCCACGGCGCACGAGGAAGUGAAACUAGAGCGUGGUUUGGAGGAACAGCCCCGAACAGAAAAGGGAUGUGCCACGUGCCCAGCGAAAGACUGAAGAGUCCUGACUCGGAGCGUGUAGUAGUGCAACAGGUAAAGCGAUCGGCAGCGGAGGAAGGAGCGUGUGAGGGAGCGAGAGGCGUUGCUGUGUCUGUCUCCGUAAGGCUGCAGAGCCAGGAGGGGAUGGACCAUGCUGUGCCGGGAUGGGGAGGGAGGCAGGGACUGCCAGGAGCCUG
Struthio camelus australis is the source of this 2167-nucleotide long non-coding RNA. NCBI's taxonomy places the organism in Eukaryota, Metazoa, Chordata, Aves, Struthioniformes, Struthionidae. The record is from Ensembl.